GUGGGGAAUCUUCCGCAAUGGACGAAAGUCUGACGGAGCAACGCCGCGUGAGUGAUGAAGGUCUUCGGAUUGUAAAGCUCUGUUAAUCGGGACGAAAGAGCCUAGUGUGAAUAAUGCUAGGAAGUGACGGUACCGGAAUAGAAAGCCACGGCUAACUACGUGCCAGCAGCCGCGGUAAUACGUAGGUGGCAAGCGUUGUCCGGAAUUAUUGGGCGUAAAGCGCGCGCAGGCGGAUCUGACAGUCUGUCUUAAAAGUUCGGGGCUUAACCCCGUGAUGGGAUGGAAACUACAGAUCUAGAGUAUCGGAGAGGAAAGUGGAAUUCCUAGUGUAGCGGUGAAAUGCGUAGAUAUUAGGAAGAACACCAGUGGCGAAGGCGACUUUCUGGACGAAAACUGACGCUGAGGCGCGAAAGCCAGGGGAGCGAACGGGAUUAGAAACCCCAGUAGUCC
This 450-nucleotide ribosomal RNA is filed under the name uncultured bacterium. RNAcentral describes it as "partial 16S ribosomal RNA". It matches the Rfam family "Bacterial small subunit ribosomal RNA", at positions 354 to 796 of the family's 1533-position model. The record is from RNAcentral.